UUACAUAGAUUAUUUCUUCACUUUGUUGCUGUUGGUAAUAAUGGAGUUCUUGUAGGAACUACUUUUUCUCAAUUCAUCUAAGAUAUAUUAUCCACUCACAUCUCCUCUAUCCAUCCAUCCAUCCAUCCAUCCACCCACCCAUCCAAUAAAUUAUAUAAAAUAUCUGUUCUGGUAAAGGCUUAAGGACCAUUUCCUUAUACUGACCAUUGUACAUAGUUAUACAAGAUGUCACUAUUGGGGGAAAUUGGGGAAAAUAUAUAUGGGACCUUCCCAUACACUGUGUUAUAAAUUCUUGUGAGUCCAUGAUUAUUUCAAAAUAAAAAGUAAAAAAUAAAAAUUCCCUUGAGCACAGUAUCCCUGCAAAUGAUCCCCAUUUUUUUUCUUCCCCUGGAAAAAAAGCCUACUGCAUUCUCUUGCUUCUCUUUCUCCUUAAUUCUAUCACUUACCAUCUCAUUUCCCUCCUACCACUUCAUUCUAAUUAUUUUCCUUGAGAUCUCUGGCAAUGAGUUUGUCUGUUCUCCAUUUUCCAGAGGGAUUUGAUCAUGCAAUGCGUAGUCACCAAAUGCUGUCCUGAAGAACCCUAAUUUGAUUAAAGAUAUUUGAGUAGGAAAAUGGGUAACUGAGUCUGUUAUUCUAAUCAGGAAUAGACUAUGAUUCUCAUUUGCUUAUUAUAAAGUUAUAAAUAGGGAAGCAUCUUAUGUCAUUGGGUAGAAUGCUGCACAUAUUUUUAAAAAGUAGAUUAGCCAUUAUAGAAUUUCUAUUUUCCAGGGCUGUGAGGAUUCAAGAACUAAAACACUGAACAGUAUAGCUUAGAGUUCUCGGAAGAAUGAUGCCAGUGGAACAAAGAACAACACAAUUAAUGCUCUCAGUAACUUACAGUUAUGGCCCUAAAGCAAAAACCAAAGCUGAUAAUUCAAGCCCAGGGUACGAAACUCCAUAAUAACGAUCCUCCAGAGAGGGAGCAAUGGAAGCAAAGUUGUGCCCAAAAUGAUUUAUUCUGAAUCAAAAAGAAAAAGUAAAUGAUUUUUGACUGUGAUAGUUUUUCUCUGUCCAUAAGAACGGGGAUGGUUGACCAUUAUUGGUUGACAGGAAGAAACUGAAGCAAGUUCAAUUUACAAGUUGCUUUUCAAAAAAGUUGGAUAGCCCAGGGAAUUGGAAUAGUUUGUCUACUAUUUGCAGUCACUGUUGGAACUCGGAUACUUAAAAAUACUGGGAAAAGGUGAGGAAAUGAAGUAGUUUUUUAGGCUCUGGUUCAGGAAAGAAAUCUACCCAGACUCUGGAUGUAAUGUCUGAUAGGAAACAGUGUAUUCCCUUGCUGCUUGUGGAAAUGCCACUUGAUAAUGAGUUUUGACCUAAUUUCUUUCCUCAUUGCAGCAUAGUAAUUUAAAUCACUGGAGAUACAUUCUGAAACCUUUAAAAAAAGUUAUUCUUCUGGAUUAAGCAAAAAUAGGCUUCCUAUUCCAAACUGGUCUUAUGCAGCAUCCCAUUCUCAGUACAUUUUGCUUGAGAUUACCAUGGUUUUGACUUAUAAAAUAUUAAACCUUAGACCAGUUGUGUUUUAGGGUUUUCCUGGGACUAAUUUCUGGAUAUGUUACAUAGUAAUGAAAAUUCUAUUAGCAUAUUAUUUGCAGACCAUUUAUAUAUGUUCACCUAGAUUGAUUUUUAUUUUCCCUUCAGGUUCCUUUCACAUUAAACUGUGAUCAAUGGUAUUCUUAAGGCAGUUAUUUCCUGACUGAAAUUUGUCAAAGUUUUCAUUCAUUCAUUCAUUCAUUUUUUUUUCCCAAAUAGCAGAAGGGGAAACAGGACAGAAGCACUGAGCAUUCACACAGUGAAAACGACUAAACCUCUUUAAUGAUUUCUGUUUUUUAUAAACUAUUUUUUAGAAUGUGCAAUGAGAUUCCCAUUUAUUCCCAUUUUCUUUGCUGUGGUCAGCAAGGUCAAAUUUUGUAAAGAGUCUCCAGUUUUAACUUGGAUUCAUUUGGAAGAAAGAAUUUGAAAGGACAAAGAAAGAGCAAAUGGAGAAAUGUCAUCAGAACCAGUGAACAAUGAUUGAUUGGAUUUGAAGUUAAGGGCCGAGUAGCAUAGUAUUGGUGAAGGUCAACAAUGAAGGUACUUGAGCAGAAUUCCUGAACCCAGCCUUGCUGAUUCACUGCCGAUAUAUGGUGAAGCAGGCAUGCUUCACAGGGGAUGGCUGAGUCAGGGGACCCAAGAAGGCAUGUAUUGAGAGUCACGCAGCAGACAGAUAAUGCAGCAGAGUCCAAAGACGGCUCCCAUUCGGCUUCUCUGGUGUUUGAAGCUAACGGAUUGUAUGUCAUUGCUGAAGAACCGGCAGUUCCUGGGGCUGCACAUAUAGGUCAAUCCCAGGAUUCUGGCAUAAUUCGAGAAGUUUCUGCUGGUCUCCACCAUUUCUGGCCAAGGAGACCUCUGGGAGGCCAGUUUAGAAUGACAUGGCCAUUCUUCAGGUUAUGGAUGAAAGGAGACUGCUGGUGACACUAUAACCCGGACAAUACCAAAAACAAUACUGAAAGCAGCUGAUGAUACUGCAUGUCACAGAUGUACCAGCUGAGAUUGGUGGAGGGUAAACAACAAAGCCAAGGUUGCACUGCUGCUGCUAGUAAGGAGCACAGUGAUAUUUUGAUUCCAUGUCUUUGAACUCUAGACCACUCUGUUGCCUUCAUUAAACAGAUGUCUACCGAGUGCCCUCCUGUUUCUUGGCAUAUGUAUGAUAUUUCUCAUCUUGGUGGUUGAGUCAUCUAGUAUAGGACAUAGCCCUGCUCUCAAGAAGCUUGUUUUAUUGUCAGGGACAUAAGAAAUGUCUAAACACAAACUAACCAAAAUGAAAGGCUAUAAGCAAGAUGUGAAAACUUCAUGGGAGGACCCCACCCAGGAAAGUGGAGGAGAGAGGUAAAGGAAUAGGUAGGAAUUUUAACAAGGUAGGCCCAUAUUUUUGGCCAAAAUCACCUGUCCUUUGAAAUAUAAAGCAUGGUUUCAUUCCAUCAGGGCAAACAUGAGGACAGAAGACAUAGCAUUUGCAUGAAUGCUACAGCUAUGCAGCAUUACCGAACUCUACUAUGAUGGGGGUGGAGACUCCACAGAAAAAGUGGGGCUUGCAGGAUGGGUGAAAUCUGCAUAGGUAGUAAGGCAAGAGGAAGAUGUUGAA
Canis lupus familiaris (dog) is the source of this 3160-nucleotide long non-coding RNA. RefSeq lists it as uncharacterized. The transcript is spliced from 4 exons. The record is from RefSeq and is a predicted model, not a curated record. Lineage: Eukaryota; Metazoa; Chordata; Mammalia; Carnivora; Canidae.